This 349-nucleotide unclassified non-coding RNA is filed under the name soil metagenome. RNAcentral describes it as "partial contains 5.8S ribosomal RNA, internal transcribed spacer 2, and large subunit ribosomal RNA". The stretch from base 1 to 120 matches the Rfam family "5.8S ribosomal RNA", at positions 35 to 154 of the family's 154-position model. The record is from RNAcentral.
GAUGAAGAACGUAGCGAAAUGCGAUAACUAAUGUGAAUUGCAGAAUUCAGUGAAUCAUCGAGUCUUUGAACGCACAUUGCGCCCCCUGGUAUUCCGGGGGGCAUGCCUGUCCGAGCGUCAUUGCUGCCCUCAAGCCCGGCUUGUGUGUUGGGUCGCCGUCCCCCUCUCCGGGGGGACGGGCCCGAAAGGCAGCGGCGGCACCGCGUCCGAUCCUCGAGCUUAUGGGGCUUUGUCACAUGCUCUGUAGGAUUGGCCGGCGCCUGCCGACGUUUUCCAACCAUUCUUUCCAGGUUGACCUCGGAUCAGGUAGGGAUACCCGCUGAACUUAAGCAUAUCAAUAAGCGGAGGA